CCUACGGGAGGCAGCAGUGGGGAAUUUUGGACAAUGGACGAAAGUCUGAUCCAGCCAUGCCGCGUGCGGGAAGAAGGCCUUCGGGUUGUAAACCGCUUUUGUCAGGGAAGAAAUCCUUUGAGUUAAUACCUCGGGGGGGAUGACGGUACCUGAAGAAUAAGCACCGGCUAACUACGUGCCAGCAGCCGCGGUAAUACGUAGGGUGCAAGCGUUAAUCGGAAUUACUGGGCGUAAAGCGUGCGCAGGCGGUUAUAUAAGACAGAGGUGAAAUCCCCGGGCUCAACCUGGGAACUGCCUUUGUGACUGUAUAGCUUGAGUGCGGCAGAGGGGGAUGGAAUUCCGCGUGUAGCAGUGAAAUGCGUAGAUAUGCGGAGGAACACCGAUGGCGAAGGCAAUCCCCUGGGCCUGCACUGACGCUCAUGCACGAAAGCGUGGGGAGCAAACAGGAUUAGAUACCCUGGUAGUCCACGCCCUAAACGAUGUCAACUGGUUGUUGGGAAGGUUCCUUCUCAGUAACGUAGCUAACGCGUGAAGUUGACCGCCUGGGGAGUCGGCCGCAAGGUUGAACUCAAAGGAAUUGACGGCGNGAGAGNGCGAGACGACGACGAGGGAGGAGG
RNAcentral lists this ribosomal RNA (617 nucleotides) under uncultured bacterium. RNAcentral's name for it is "bacterial SSU rRNA". It matches the Rfam family "Bacterial small subunit ribosomal RNA", at positions 338 to 948 of the family's 1533-position model. The record is from RNAcentral.